UGGGUUUUCUCUGUGCUCGAGGACCUUAGACUGGUCCCAUAUGGCCUGUUGCUAUGCUACUGGACCUAGGCCUGGACCUGGACAUGUUCUGUAGGUAGUGCGUCUUGUGGCUGACUAGAAGAGGUCUCGUGUGGGUCAGCCCGUUGGAUGACUGCAUCAUCAGCUCUAGGGAUCAUCUUCUUCCUCUUGGGAGGCCUUUGUGGCUACUCCGCCUCUGGAUGAAUUCCUGGUACUGGGCCCUGGAGAAAUAAAUCUAUUGGUAGGCGAUUCACCUUCAGUUUUUCUACAUCUGCUCUCAGCUCCUUCACAGACUCUUUGGAGGCACGUGUCUUCCUUAGCUUCUUGUGCUCCUGAGAAAUCUCCUUGAGAGCCUUGCUAUGUGAAGCAAUUGCCUUGGAGAGCACUGCCUGAGUGUCGAGGAUCUUCUUCUGGUUGUCAAGUAUCUCUAUGAGAACAUCCUCUAUUGACUAUGAAAGCUAUGAAGCUUAAGGUGCCAACUAAGGCUCUAACACAGUGGUGAGAAUAGACAACUUAGAUGAGGCAGUCUGCAUCCAGUUGUUUAUGCUAACAAGCGCUUAGCUCUGUCAGUGAGCAGUAAUAGGAUGGGCUCAAAAU
This 615-nucleotide long non-coding RNA is filed under the name Nicotiana benthamiana. RNAcentral's name for it is "long non-coding RNA (NBEN_LNC040453)". The record is from RNAcentral. Lineage: Eukaryota; Viridiplantae; Streptophyta; Magnoliopsida; Solanales; Solanaceae.